RNAcentral lists this unclassified non-coding RNA (414 nucleotides) under Hevea brasiliensis (rubber tree). Lineage: Eukaryota; Viridiplantae; Streptophyta; Magnoliopsida; Malpighiales; Euphorbiaceae. The record is from RNAcentral.
GGCGGAUGUUGUCUUCUGAGUUAUGAUUGGGUACGUAUCUAUCCAAAUCACACACGCGUUUAAGCAACGCGUAAAAAUGCGCACACAACUUACGGAGAAACAGAAACUCCCUAUUAAAUCUCUUGCGCAGCUGCAGUAUAUAAUACGAAGCUAGUGCCCACCGCAGAGAAAAGUAAUUCGUGGACCUCACAUAACACGCGAAAGAAGGAAAGGCAUCAUCUUUCAAUCUCAAACCAAAAUUGAAAUUUGCAUUAAAACUUAAGUUGAAGAAAGAUGGGAGGUGGGAAAGACAAGCAUGAAAAUGAUUCUACUGAUAAAGGGUUGCUUUCACAACUUGCUGGAUUUGCUGCUGGUCACUACCCCCCUCAUGGAUCAUAUCCUUCACAUGGUUAUCCUCCUCAACCAUAUCCCCAA